Molecule: ribosomal RNA, 793 nt
Filed under: uncultured bacterium
Lineage: Bacteria
Description: bacterial SSU rRNA
Rfam family: Bacterial small subunit ribosomal RNA
Source: RNAcentral
AGAGUUUGAUCAUGGCUCAGAUUGAACGCUGGCGGCAUGCCUUACACAUGCAAGUCGAACGGUAACAGGUCUUCGGAUGCUGACGAGUGACGAACGGGUGAGUAAUACAUCAGAACGUGCCCGAUCGUGGGGGAUAACGAAGCGAAAGCUUUGCUAAUACCGCAUACGAUCUACGGAUGAAAGCAGGGGACCGCAAGGCCUUGCGCGAACGGAGCGGCCGAUGGCAGAUUAGGUAGUUGGUGGGAUAAAAGCUUACCAAGCCGACGAUCUGUAGCUGGUCUGAGAGGACGACCAGCCACACUGGGACUGAGACACGGCCCAGACUCCUACGGGAGGCAGCGGUGGGGAAUUUUGGACAAUGGGCGAAAGCCUGAUCCAGCCAUGCCGCGUGCAGGAUGAAGGCCUUCGGGUUGUAAACUGCUUUUGUACGGAACGAAAAGACUCUGGUUAAUACCUGGGGUCCAUGACGGUACCGUAAGAAUAAGCACCGGCUAACUACGUGCCAGCAGCCGCGGUAAUACGUAGGGUCCGAGCGUUGUCCGGAAUUACUGGGCGUAAAGAGCUCGUAGGUGGUUUGUCGCGUUGUUCGUGAAAACUCACAGCUUAACUGUGGGCGUGCGGGCGAUACGGGCAGACUAGAGUACUGCAGGGGAGACUGGAAUUCCUGGUGUAGCGGUGGAAUGCGCAGAUAUCAGGAGGAACACCGGUGGCGAAGGCGGGUCUCUGGGCAGUAACUGACGCUGAGGAGCGAAAGCGUGGGUAGCGAACAGGAUUAGAUACCCCGGUAGUCCAA